Molecule: ribosomal RNA, 166 nt
Filed under: uncultured bacterium
Lineage: Bacteria
Description: partial 16S ribosomal RNA
Rfam family: Bacterial small subunit ribosomal RNA
Source: RNAcentral
CUAGUAAUCGCGAAUCAGAAUGUCGCGGUGAAUACGUUCCCGGGUCUUGUACACACCGCCCGUCACACCAUGGGAGUCGGGAAUGCCCGAAGCCGGUGACCCAACCUUAAGGAGGGAGCCGUCGAAGGCAGGCCUGGUAACUGGGGUGAAGUCGUAACAAGGUAAC